This 494-nucleotide ribosomal RNA is filed under the name uncultured bacterium. RNAcentral's name for it is "partial 16S ribosomal RNA". It matches the Rfam family "Bacterial small subunit ribosomal RNA", at positions 28 to 507 of the family's 1533-position model. The record is from RNAcentral.
GACGAACGCUGGCGGCGUGCCUAUACAUUCAAGUAGAACGCCGAAGGAGGAGCUUGCUUUCCUGGAUGAGUUGCGAACGGGUGAGUAACGCGUAGGUUAACUGCCCGGUAGCGGGGGAUAACCAAUGGAAACGAUAGGUAAUACCGCCUAAUAAUAGAAGGUGCAUGAAAUUUGCUUAAAAAGUGCAAUUGCAUUACCACCAGAUGGACCUGCGUUGUAUUAGCUAGUUGGUGGGGUAACGGCUCACCAAGGCGACGAUACAUAGCCGACCUGAGAGGGUGAUCGGCCACACUGGGACUGAGACACGGCCCAGACUCCUACGGGAGGCAGCAGUAGGGAAUCUUCGGCAAUGGACGGAAGUCUGACCGAGCAACGCCGCGUGAGUGAAGAAGGUUUUCGGAUCGUAAAGCUCUGUUGUAAGAGAAGAACGAGUGUGAGAGUGGAAAGUUCACACUGUGACGGUAGCUUACCAGAAAGGGACGGCUAACUACGUG